Molecule: long non-coding RNA, 1286 nt
Filed under: Canis lupus familiaris (dog)
Lineage: Eukaryota; Metazoa; Chordata; Mammalia; Carnivora; Canidae
Description: lncRNA (ENSCAFG00000055038.1)
Source: RNAcentral
ACGACCUCCCGGGCAGCGUGAGUCGGAGGAACCACAGUUCUGUCCGCAGAACCAGCCAUCUCCCUGAGGAAAAGCCACCCUUUACCACAGCCCUGUGCAUUGGUCUGUGACAGGCUGAGGAGUCCGAUGGAGAUAGCAUUGAAAAGUGACGUCCGCAAAGCCAUUGGGCGGAGGCGAAGUUGGGACCCAGAGAGAUGGGAAAUCACUUGACUAAUAGGUGAAGGGAACCGGCACCCUCUUCCAGAAACAGCUACGUCGGGCAGGGUUCUUAGGAACGGCACAACCGAGGAGCCCCUACUCUCUGCACGGUAAGGUGGUCCUAAUAUUUCCAUUUUACACCAAGGAACGUGACACUUGGAGAGGUGCCAGGUCAAAUGUCAUACCCUGAAGGAAAACUUCUUUCUUUUCCUUUUCCUUUUUUUUUUUUUUAAUAAAUAUCAUGAAGCAACAAAGUUGAGGAAAUAAAAGAAGAUGAAAAAAAAAUCUACUCCCAUUUCUACCCAAAGUCCGAAGCUUGCCAUCAAGGCUCAUCUCGAGGGCUCUGAGGACUGAAGUGGAUCUUUGAGGGCAGGGCAAGGUUCUGCAUUUGCCCUUUGCCAGGCCUACUGGCCGGAGAGGCUCCGCUCCUACAACUUUAAACUUUGAGUGCUGUUACCAUGGUGCUUAAGUGAGCCACCAAUUCAAGCCUUUUGUGGAUUCUAUAGUUAGCUUAUGAAUGAAUAGCACAAUUACAUUGCAGUGUGAUUUGUGUGUGUGUUAAAAGUGUUACUUUGGCAGCAUCUGGGUGACUCAGUCCGUUAAGCAGCCGAGUCUGAAUUUGGGAUCAAGUCAUGAUCUCGGGGUUGUGUGAUGGAGCCUCCUAUCUGCUCCACAGUGAGGGCAGAGUCUGCUUGUCCCUCUCCCUCUGUUCCACCCCCAUCACUUGCUCGCUUGCUCACUUGCUCUCAAAUAAAUAAACAAAAUCUUUUAAAAAAAUGAAUCUGUUAAUUUGGAACUUUUAAAACAUUGCUAUAUAAUUUUUUACAUUCUGCAGAAGCAAAGCUGACACCUUACCCUCCUCCAUCAAGAGGAUAGACUUCAUGGCACAGUUCAGUAAAGGGGGGAGAAACAGGACUUAGUGCUAUUACAUAAAUAAUAAGCAUCAGCUUGUUUUUUAUCACCAAAUAAAACUAAAGUAUUUCCUAAGUAAAACAACUUUAUCCCUGACUUUAACAAUACAAAUUUCUGAACCUAUGCAUUAUGUUGAUCAUCAUCAUAUAAGAAAAUGGCUGUUUCCCACCAAAAAA